UGGGGAAUUUUGCGCAAUGGGCGAAAGCCUGACGCAGCAACGCCGCGUGAUUGAUGAAGCUUUUCGGAGUGUAAAGAUCUGUCGUGAGGGAAGAAUAACUUGGAUGCAAAUAGUUUUCAAGUCUGACGGUACCUCACAAGAAAGCACCGGCUAACUUCGUGCCAGCAGCCGCGGUAAUACGAGGGGUGCUAGCGUUGUCCGGAAUCAUUGGGCGUAAAGGGUCCGUAGGUGUCUUUGCAAGUCGUUUGUUACAUUCACCGGCUUAACCGGUGGCCUGCAAUCGAAACUGCAAGGAUAGAGUUCGAGAGAGGAAAGUGGAAUUCCUGGUGUAGCGGUGACAUGCGUAGAUAUCAGGAGGAACACCAAUGGCGAAGGCAGCUUUCUGGCUCGAUACUGACACUGAGGGACGAAAGCGUGGGGAGCAAACAGG
RNAcentral lists this ribosomal RNA (430 nucleotides) under uncultured bacterium. RNAcentral describes it as "bacterial SSU rRNA". It matches the Rfam family "Bacterial small subunit ribosomal RNA", at positions 355 to 776 of the family's 1533-position model. The record is from RNAcentral.